Molecule: ribosomal RNA, 163 nt
Filed under: uncultured bacterium
Lineage: Bacteria
Description: partial 16S rRNA
Rfam family: Bacterial small subunit ribosomal RNA
Source: RNAcentral
UAGGGAAUCUCCACAAUGGGCGAAAGCCUGAUGGAGCAACGCCGCGUGUGUGAUGAAGGGUUUCGGCUCGUAAAACACUGUUGUAAGAGAAGAAUGACAUUGAGAGUAACUGUUCAAUGUGUGACGGUAUCUUACCAGAAAGGAACGGCUAAAUACGUGCCAC